Molecule: non-coding RNA, 113 nt
Organism: Acanthosepion pharaonis
Lineage: Eukaryota; Metazoa; Mollusca; Cephalopoda; Sepiida; Sepiidae
Source: the annotation of a GenBank genome assembly
UAUGCCCAUAUCAUGUUGAAAUACCAGUUCUCAUAUGAUCACCAAAGUUAAGCAAUGUUGAGCCUGGUGAGUACCUAGGUGUGCAACUGCUUUGGAAUAUCAGAUGCUGUAAG